RNAcentral lists this ribosomal RNA (484 nucleotides) under uncultured bacterium. RNAcentral's name for it is "partial 16S ribosomal RNA". It matches the Rfam family "Bacterial small subunit ribosomal RNA", at positions 29 to 507 of the family's 1533-position model. The record is from RNAcentral.
AUUGAACGCUGGCGGCAUGCUUUACACAUGCAAGUCGAACGGCAGCGCGGGCUUCGGCCUGGCGGCGAGUGGCGAACGGGUGAGUAAUGCAUCGGAACGUGCCCAGUAGUGGGGGAUAGCCCGGCGAAAGCCGGAUUAAUACCACAUACGACCUGAGGGUGAAAGCGGGGGACCGAAAGGCCUCGCGCUAUUUGAGCGGCCGAUGUCGGAUUAGCUAGUUGGUGGGGUAAAGGCUUACCAAGGCGACGAUCCGUAGCUGGUCUGAGAGGACGACCAGCCACACUGGAACUGAGACACGGCCCAGACUCCUACGGGAGGCAGCAGUGGGGAAUUUUGGACAAUGGGGGCAACCCUGAUCCAGCCAUGCCGCGUGCGGGAAGAAGGCCUUCGGGUUGUAAAACGCUUUUGUUCGGGAAGAAAUCCUCUGGGCUAAUACCCCGGGGGGAUGACGGUACCGGAAGAAUAAGCACCGGCUAACUACGUG